Molecule: ribosomal RNA, 412 nt
Filed under: Syllis pulvinata
Lineage: Eukaryota; Metazoa; Annelida; Polychaeta; Phyllodocida; Syllidae
Description: partial 16S ribosomal RNA
Rfam family: Bacterial large subunit ribosomal RNA
Source: RNAcentral
UUGCGCAAAGGUAGCAUAAUAAUUUGCCUCCUAAUUAGAGGAUAGAAUGAAUGAAUUAACAAGAAAAUAGCUGUCUCUUAUUUAUUUAUGAAAAUUUAUAAUCAGGUGAAAAAGCCUGUAUUUUAAGUAAAGACAAGAAGUCCCUAAAAGCUUUUAAAUAAACCUAAACCCCAAUUAAAUUAUUCUUUAGUUGGGGCGACACACAGAUAAAAACACUUGUUACACAUAAGAUUUUAUACAUCUCUAUAUUUAGCUAAACACAUAUAAGUAAGCUACUUUAGGGAUAACAGGCUAAUACUUUCCGAGAGUACGCAUCGACGAAAGAGCUUGGCACCUCGAUGUUGGCUUAGAAUCCCUAUUCUGCGCAGGGGCAAAACUAGGGGGUUUGUUCAACCUUUAAAAUUCUACGUGA